Molecule: long non-coding RNA, 709 nt
Organism: Ictidomys tridecemlineatus (thirteen-lined ground squirrel)
Lineage: Eukaryota; Metazoa; Chordata; Mammalia; Rodentia; Sciuridae
Source: RefSeq, a predicted model, not a curated record
CUCACCUGCAGAGAGGAAAAGCAAAACAAAGCAUCGACCCUCAGACUUCAUUUGGGACAAGCAGCAACCAACGGCUGUCAGAGGGAGAUGGGCACAGGGAGGCAAGGCUCCCUGAGCUCUAUAUUCCACCCUGUGAAUCAGGAUGGCAUCAAGGUAAACAGACCGAUGAGGCCAAAGUGAGACUGAAGUGGGCGCACACGAGGGAGCAUGGCAGGACCAGGUCCGUGACAUGCAACCAACAGAAAAGAGAAGAGAUGCAAAGACCUUGAGGAGCUCUGGGCUGACAACCUCCACCCUUGAUGGACAGUGAGAACCUCAGUGCAGUACCUUGAAGGCCCUGAGCACUGCCAAAGGGCCAUCAUUUGUGAGUCGGUGCACCAGUGAGGGCCAGGCCCGAUGAGCCAAGGGAAGGAGUUGGUUCUUUUGUGACUGCAGAACCACGACACACAAGUUCAGCACAUCCAAGACCUGAAAAAAGAGACAUGAUUUCAUUAGAUGGGGACUCAGUUCCCUCUCGGCAUCUGAGCUGACACAGAAAGAUGUGAAAAUGUCAUCCCUCAGAUAAAUUCCUCUUGAUGCCUUCUCUUAGCCACCACACAUGGACCAGGAGAUAAGGGAAGUUCCUUACUUAUCCACAUAGUCACUGCCAGCCAGACUACACCUCAGUCCUGCUGCUCUGUGAAUGCAGAGAAGGGGCUGCACACUGACC